CCUACGUGAGGCAGCAGUGGGGAAUAUUGGACAAUGGGCGAAAGCCUGAUCCAGCCAUGCCGCGUGUGUGAAGAAAGCCUUCGGGUUGUAAAGCACUUUCAGUGGGGAAGAAAGCCUUGGGGCUAAUACCCUCGAGGAAGGACAUCACCCACAGAAGAAGCACCGGCUAACUCCGUGCCAGCAGCCGCGGUAAUACGGAGGGUGCGAGCGUUAAUCGGAAUUACUGGGCGUAAAGCGCGCGUAGGCGGUCUGAUAAGCCGGUUGUGAAAGCCCCGGGCUCAACCUGGGAACGGCAUCCGGAACUGUCAGGCUAGAGUGCAGGAGAGGAAGGUAGAAUUCCCGGUGUAGCGGUGAAAUGCGUAGAGAUCGGGAGGAAUACCAGUGGCGAAGGCGGCCUUCUGGACUGACACUGACGCUGAGGUGCGAAAGCGUGGGUAGCAAACAGGAUUAGAUACCCCAGUAGUC
Molecule: ribosomal RNA, 465 nt
Filed under: Vreelandella stevensii
Lineage: Bacteria; Pseudomonadati; Pseudomonadota; Gammaproteobacteria; Oceanospirillales; Halomonadaceae
Description: partial 16S ribosomal RNA
Rfam family: Bacterial small subunit ribosomal RNA
Source: RNAcentral